AUUGAACGCUGGCGGCAUGCCUUACACAUGCAAGUCGAACGGCAGCACGGGUGCUUGCACCUGGUGGCGAAUGGCGAACGGGUGAGUAAUAAAUGGGAAGAUGUCUUGCAGUGGGGGAUAGCCCGGCGCAAGCAGGAUUAAUACAGCACACGAACUACGGAUGAAAGCGGGGGGGGGACGGGCCUCGCGCUAUCGGGUUGGUGGAUGCCUGAUUAGCUAGUUGGUGGGGUAAAGGCCUACCAAGGCGACGAUCGGUAGCUGGUCUGAGAGGACGACCAGCCACACUGGGACUGAGUCACGGCCCAGACUCCUACGGGAGGCAGCAGUGGGGAAUUUUGGACAAUGGGCGAAAGCCUGAUCCAGCAAUGCCGCGUGUAUGAAGAAGGCCUUCGGGUUGUAAAGCACUUUUGUCCGGAAAGAAAUCCUUAGCCCUAAUACGGUCGGUCGAUGACGGUACCGGAAGAAUAAGCACCGGCUAACUACGUG
Molecule: ribosomal RNA, 486 nt
Filed under: uncultured bacterium
Lineage: Bacteria
Description: partial 16S ribosomal RNA
Rfam family: Bacterial small subunit ribosomal RNA
Source: RNAcentral